UAGUGGCAGACGGGUGAGUAAUGUAUAGGAAUCUACCUAGUAGUACGGAAUAAUUGUUGGAAACGGCAACUAAUACCGUAUACGCCCUACGGGGGAAAAAUUUAUUGCUAUUAGAUGAGCCUAUAUUAGAUUAGCUAGUUGGUGGAGUAAUAGCCUACCAAGGCAAUGAUCUAUAGCUGAUCUGAGAGGAUGAUCAGCCACACUGGAACUGAGAUACGGUCCAGACUCCUACGGGAGGCAGCAGUGGGGAAUAUUGGACAAUGGGCGAAAGCCUGAUCCAGCCAUGCCGCAUGAGUGAAGAAGGCCUUUGGGUUGUAAAGCUCUUUUAGUGAGGAAGAUAAUGACGGUACUCACAGAAGAAGUCCUGGCUAACUCCGUGCCAGCAGCCGCGGUAAUACGGAGAGGGCUAGCGUUAUUCGGAAUUAUUGGGCGUAAAGGGCGCGUAGGCUGGUUAAUAAGUUAAAAGUGAAAUCCCGAGGCUUAACCUUGGAAUUGCUUUUAAAACUAUUAAUCUAGAGAUUGAAAGAGGAUAGAGGAAUUCCUGAUGUAGAGGUAAAAUUCGUAAAUAUUAGGAGGAACACCAGUGGCGAAGGCGUCUAUCUGGUUCAAAUCUGACGCUGAAGCGCGAAGGCGUGGGGAGCAAACAGGAUUAGAUACCCUGGUAGUCCACGCUGUAAACGAUGAAUGUUAAAUAUGGGGAGUUUACUUUCUGUAUUACAGCUAACGCGUUAAACAUUCCGCCUGGGGACUACGGUCGCAAGAUUAAAACUCAAAGGAAUUGACGGGGACCCGCACAAGCGGUGGAGCAUGUGGUUUAAUUCGAUGCAACGCGAAAAACCUUACCACUCCUUG
RNAcentral lists this ribosomal RNA (852 nucleotides) under Wolbachia endosymbiont of Guignotus pusillus. Its description in RNAcentral is "bacterial SSU rRNA". It matches the Rfam family "Bacterial small subunit ribosomal RNA", at positions 93 to 983 of the family's 1533-position model. The record is from RNAcentral. Lineage: Bacteria; Pseudomonadati; Pseudomonadota; Alphaproteobacteria; Rickettsiales; Anaplasmataceae.